CGCGUAGGUGGUGGCAUAAGUCCGAGGUGGAAGACUAAGGCUUAACCUUAGAAUUGCCUUGGAAACUGUAUCACUUGAGUCAGCGAGGGGAUGGCGGAAUUCCAGGUGUAGCGGUGAAAUGCGUAGAUAUCUGGAGGAAGGCCGGUGGCGAAGGCGGCCAUCUGGCGCUGAACUGACACUGAGGCGCGAAAGCGUGGGGAGCAAACAGGAUUAGAUACCCUGGUAGUCCACGCCCUAAACGGUGGGUACUAGGUGUAGGGCUCGCAAGGGUUCUGUGCCGUAGGGAAACCAUUAAGUACCCCGCCUGGGGAGUACGGCCGCAAGGUUGAA
RNAcentral lists this ribosomal RNA (330 nucleotides) under uncultured bacterium. RNAcentral describes it as "bacterial SSU rRNA". It matches the Rfam family "Bacterial small subunit ribosomal RNA", at positions 568 to 898 of the family's 1533-position model. The record is from RNAcentral.